RNAcentral lists this ribosomal RNA (460 nucleotides) under uncultured bacterium. RNAcentral describes it as "partial 16S ribosomal RNA". It matches the Rfam family "Bacterial small subunit ribosomal RNA", at positions 338 to 795 of the family's 1533-position model. The record is from RNAcentral.
CCUACGGGAGGCAGCAGUGAGGAAUAUUGGUCAAUGGGCGCAAGGCUGAACCAGCCAAGUAGCGUGAGGGAUGACUGCCCUACGGGUUGUAAACUUCUUUUAUGAGGGAAUAAAGUGGUCCACGUGUGCCUGUUUGUAGGUACUUUAUGAAUAAGGACCGGCUAACUCCGUGCCAGCAGCCGCGGUAAUACGGAGGAUCCGGGCGUUAUCCGGAUUUAUUGGGUGUAAAGGGAGCGUAGGCGGCAAUGUAAGUGCGGCGUGGAAUUCUGUAGCUCAACCGCCGAAGUGCGGUGGAAACUGGAGGCCUUGAGUGCACGAAGGGUAAGCGGAAUUCGUGGUGUAGCGGUGAAAUGCUUAGAUAUCACGAAGAACCCCGAUUGCGAAGGCAGCCUACUGGAGUGUUACUGACGUUGAGGCUCGAAAGCGUGGGGAGCAAACAGGAUUAGAUACCCGAGUAGUC